RNAcentral lists this ribosomal RNA (531 nucleotides) under uncultured Rheinheimera sp. RNAcentral describes it as "bacterial SSU rRNA". It matches the Rfam family "Bacterial small subunit ribosomal RNA", at positions 383 to 907 of the family's 1533-position model. The record is from RNAcentral. Lineage: Bacteria; Pseudomonadati; Pseudomonadota; Gammaproteobacteria; Chromatiales; Chromatiaceae.
CUGAUCCAGCCAUGCCGCGUGUGUGAAGAAGGCCUUCGGGUUGUAAAGCACUUUCAGCGAGGAGGAAGGGUGGUGUGUUAAUAGCACAUCAUUUUGACGUUACUCGCAGAAGAAGCACCGGCUAACUCUGUGCCAGCAGCCGCGGUAAUACAGAGGGUGCAAGCGUUAAUCGGAAUUACUGGGCGUAAAGCGCACGUAGGCGGUUAGUUAAGUUGGAUGUGAAAGCCCCGGGCUCAACCUGGGAAUUGCAUUCAAAACUGGCCAACUAGAAUACGGGAGAGGGGGGUAGAAUUCCAAGUGUAGCGGUGAAAUGCGUAGAGAUUUGGAGGAAUACCAGUGGCGAAGGCGGCCCCCUGGCCCGAACUGACACUCAGGAGCGAAAGCGUGGGGAGCAAACAGGAUUAGAUACCCUGGUAGUCCACGCCGUAAACGAUGUCUACUAGCUGUUCGUGGUCUUGUACUGUGAGUAGCGCAGCUAACGCACUAAGUAGACCGCCUGGGGAGUACGGUCGCAAGAUUAAAACUCAAAUG